UACGAAGGGUGCAAGCGUUACUCGGAAUUACUGGGCGUAAAGCGUGCGUAGGUGGUUCGUUAAGUCUGAUGUGAAAGCCCUGGGCUCAACCUGGGAAUGGCAUUGGAAACUGGCGACCUAGAGUGCGGUAGAGGGUAGUGGAAUUCCUGGUGUAGCAGUGAAAUGCGUAGAUAUCAGGAGGAAUACCGAUGGCGAAGGCAGGUCUCUGGGCUAACACUGACGCUCAUGCACGAAAGCGUGGGGAGCAAACAGG
RNAcentral lists this ribosomal RNA (253 nucleotides) under uncultured bacterium. RNAcentral describes it as "partial 16S ribosomal RNA". It matches the Rfam family "Bacterial small subunit ribosomal RNA", at positions 524 to 776 of the family's 1533-position model. The record is from RNAcentral.